UUUAUCUACAUCUAAUCAUACACCUAAAAUUUAUAUGACAGAAAAAAUAAUUAAAAAAUAAAAGAAUACUCUACCGGUAAAAACCCACACUCCACCGGUAAAAACCCCACUCACACUCCCGACUCCCCCUCCCCCAAAAUCAAGAAAUCCAGAUAUCGUUCUCCACCGGUAAAAACCCUCAAAAUCAUCUCCUUCCCACCUUUUUCAGCUCCUCACCUUCAUUUUCGCUUCUCUUCUCACCCAAAAGAGGAAAUAGAAACUCUCAAACCACCGCAGAUCAGCAGAGAGGGAGUGAAGGAGAAGGGUUCCAAGGGUUUGGGUUUGGUUUAUGACUCUGAAACGAUGGCCCGCGAAAGUGAGGAGAAGCAGCGGCGGAGGUAGCAGAGUGAUAUUGUGAGUUUCAAGGCAAAAGGGUGCGGCACAGACCCCGGCUAUGAAGUGAUGACCUCGGAUAAUGCUGGUCGAUUCAUCUGCAAUUAUGUAUACUAUCACUCCUUGCGGUUUGCAGAGCAGAAUGGAAUCAAAUCACUAUUUGUACAUGUUCCUCUCUUCUUGACUAUAAGAUGAGGAGAUUCAGAUGCAAUUUGCUGCUUUGUUGGAGAUAGAUGGAUUUGACCAGACAUAUUUGACGAGACAGUUAAUGUGAAGGUUAUCAUGGCAACUAACAGAGCUGACACUUUGGACCCUGCCCUUCGGCAUCCGGGAAGACUUGAACAUAAAAUUGAGUUCCCUUUGCCAGAUAGACGUCAGAAGAGGCUUGUCUUUCAGAAGAAAUGAUGGUGGACAAGCUGAGUACAUUUGUCCAAAUUGUUAUAUAGAAGUAGUUGAGAAGUGGGAAAGUGUACCCAUUGCCGGAGAGCGCUGUUCUAGGAGCAAGGGAUUUGCGUAGAACAAGCAGCGGUUAUUUGCAAAGCUGAACCAAGAAAGGCAGGAUAGAGUAAGGCUUCAAUGCAAAAGUUUUGCCUGAGGUGAGCCUGUUCCUUAUAUGCAGUAUGUGAUGUACUUCCAGUUUGUGAUUUUCUUUAAGGUAAGUUUUGAAUUUCUCAUAUGUAGAAAAGAUAUGCUAUGCUUAAAUUUAUCUUUCCUUUUAGUUUCUUUAGCUCAUUGUUUCUAAUUAAUACAUUCUAACAAUAGAAUAAGAUUAGAAAGAGGUGCAAAGCUCUGCAGAACUUAAUUACUUGUUUUAGAAAAAUAAACGAAUAUUUGAGUGGCUUGCGCUCUGUACGGAUUAUGCGAGUGACUUGAAUGACCAUCUUUAUUGUAAAAAAGUAACAAGAGAUUGGAGCCUAGUAUCGUUGUGACAAUAGAAUUAGAUUAGUCAGGGAAUUAAUGUGUUGGAAUGUGGAUGUGUGGGGAUUGAAAAUUUUUAUUUGGGGGUUGACAAUUUUUAUUGAACGCCGUUGUUGUGAAGGAAGUUAGUGUGUCUCGAGAAAAAUAUGCGAAUUAUCUUGUAGUAGCGCUUGAAUUUACCUAUUGUUGUCUUGUGAUAUCCCUUAGAUUAAUAGGAUUUUUUGGUAUAAGUCGAGAUAAGUAGGAGAAACCAGAACUAGUGGCAUAUUGAAAAAAAAAGUGGUGUGAAGUGUGUUCCAUUGACUGCAUCAAUUGAAUAAUGUUCGAGAAUCAACACAAAAGCCCUUUGUGUGAGCUUUUGGACCAAAGCACUUCCAUUUAAAUAGUGCUCCUACAUUUCUUUUGAUUGAGGGCAUCAAACUUAGGGUGUUCAUUCUAGAACUUGCUUGUGAAAUACAUUUUGAGUCCAC
Long non-coding RNA from Sesamum indicum (sesame), 1760 nucleotides. RefSeq lists it as uncharacterized. The record is from RefSeq and is a predicted model, not a curated record. Lineage: Eukaryota; Viridiplantae; Streptophyta; Magnoliopsida; Lamiales; Pedaliaceae.